GACAGUUUGGCCGAGUGGUCUAAGGCGCUGUCUUAAGGCGCCCGUCCGAAAGGGCGUGGGUUCGAACCCCACAGCUGUCA
RNAcentral lists this transfer RNA (80 nucleotides) under Perkinsus marinus ATCC 50983. It matches the Rfam family "tRNA". Rfam says of the family: Transfer RNA (tRNA) molecules are approximately 80 nucleotides in length. Lineage: Eukaryota; Perkinsozoa; Perkinsida; Perkinsidae. The record is from Rfam by way of RNAcentral.